Molecule: ribosomal RNA, 407 nt
Filed under: Hylarana taipehensis (Taipei frog)
Lineage: Eukaryota; Metazoa; Chordata; Amphibia; Anura; Ranidae
Description: partial 16S ribosomal RNA
Rfam family: Bacterial large subunit ribosomal RNA
Source: RNAcentral
CUUGAAAAAUAUAAGAGGUCCAGCCUGCCCAGUGACAAAGUUCAACGGCCGCGGUACCCUAACCGCGCGAAGGUAGCAUAAUCACUUGUUCUUUAAAUAGGGACUAGUAUCAAUGGCAUCACGAGGGCUGCACUGUCUCCUUUCUCCAAUCAGUGAAACUGAUCUCCCCGUGAAGAAGCGGGGAUUUUGAUAUAAGACGAGAAGACCCCAUGGAGCUUCAAGCAACGAAUUUACCUUUAACUCGUAUUUCUACUAAUUUCAAAAGCCUAAAUUCUAGCUUUUGGUUGGGGGGACCGCGGAGUAUAACCCAACCUCCGCAACUAACGGGCUUUGCCCUAAUCCAUGAGCCACACCUCUAAGAAUCAAUAAAUUGAUGCCUUUGACCCGAAAACUCGAUCAAUGGACCA